RNAcentral lists this unclassified non-coding RNA (552 nucleotides) under Hevea brasiliensis (rubber tree). The record is from RNAcentral. Lineage: Eukaryota; Viridiplantae; Streptophyta; Magnoliopsida; Malpighiales; Euphorbiaceae.
GUUGAUUGAAGAAGUGUGAAUCCACUGGAAGAGGAACCAAACUCAGAUGGGUGUUUUCUCCCUGGGGAUGAAGAUGAGCUACUAGCAGGCCUAAUGGAUGAUUUUGAUCUUAGUGGGUUGCCAACUCAGCUGGAGGACUUGGAAGAUGAUUUUUUUGGCAGUGGCGGAGGACUAGAAUUGGAAUCUGAGACUCUUGAUAAUUCACUUAAUGGUUUUGCAAAAUUAAGCAUGUCUGAUGGUAUUCUUGGAAGUAUUGUUGGACAUCAUGUCUUCUCAAACAGUGCUGGAACUGUUACGGGAGAACACCCGUACGGAGAGCAUCCUUCUAGGACACUGUUUGUUCGGAAUAUUAACAGCAAUGUAGAGGACUCCGAGCUGCAAUCUCUCUUUGAGCAAUAUGGUGAUAUCAGAACUUUGUACACUUCAUGCAAGCAUAGGGGUUUCGUGAUGAUAUCUUACUAUGAUAUCCGAGCUGCUCGAACCGCAAUGCGUAUGCUGCAACAUAAGCCUCUAAGACGGAGAAAGCUAGACAUUCAUUUUUCAAUUCCUAAG